This 506-nucleotide ribosomal RNA is filed under the name uncultured bacterium. RNAcentral describes it as "partial 16S ribosomal RNA". It matches the Rfam family "Bacterial small subunit ribosomal RNA", at positions 29 to 523 of the family's 1533-position model. The record is from RNAcentral.
AGUGAACGCUGGCGGUAGGCCUAACACAUGCAAGUCGAACGGCAGCACAGGAGAGCUUGCUCUCUGGGUGGCGAGUGGCGGACGGGUGAGGAAUACAUCGGAAUCUACUUUUUCGUGGGGGAUAACGUAGGGAAACUUACGCUAAUACCGCAUACGACCUACGGGUGAAAGCAGGGGACCUUCGGGCCUUGCGCGAUUGAAUGAGCCGAUGUCGGAUUAGCUAGUUGGCGGGGUAAAGGCCCACCAAGGCGACGAUCCGUAGCUGGUCUGAGGGGAUGGUCAGCCACACUGGAACUGAGACACGGUCCAGACUCCUACGGGAGGCAGCAGUGUGGAAUAUUGGACAAUGGGCGCAAGCCUGAUCCAGCCAUACCGCGUGGGUGAAGAAGGCCUUCGGGUUGUAAAGCCCUUUUGUUGGGAAAGAAAUCCAGCUGGCUAAUACCCGGUUGGGAUGACGGUACCCAAAGAAUAAGCACCGGCUAACUUCGUGCCAGCCGCCGCCGUAA